UAGAGUUUGAUCCUGGCUCCAAUCAACGCUGGCGGCGUGCCUAACACCUGCAAGUCGAACGAGAAAGCGGAGCAAUCCAUGAGUAAAGUGGCGACCGGGUGAGUAACACGUGACCAACCUACCCUCGAGUGGGGAACAACCUCGGGAAACCGGGGCUAAUACCGCAUAAUGUCUUUGGGGUGCAAUUCCCUGGGGAUCAAAGGAGCAAUUCGCUUGAGGAGGGGGUCGCGGCUGAUUAGCUAGUUGGCGGGGUAAUGGCCCACCAAGGCGAAGAUCGGUAGCCGGCCUGAGAGGGCGCACGGCCACACUGGAACUGAAACACGGUCCAAACUCCUACGGGAGGCACCUUUGGGGAAUUUUGCGCAAUGGGGGAAACCCUGACGCACCAACGCCGCGGGGAGGAUGAAGUCCUUUGGGACGUAAACUCCUUUCGACCGGGACGAUAAUGACGGUACCGGUGGAAGAAGCCCCGGCUAACUCUGUGCCAGCAGCCGCUUUAAUACAGGGGGGGCGAGCGUUGUGCGGAAUUAUUGGGCGUACAGGGCGCGGAUGCUGUGCGGUAAGUCACCUGUGAAACCUCUGGGCUUAACCCAGAGCCUGCACGCGAAACUGCCGUGCUAGAGUGUGGGAGAGGUGCGUGGAAUUCCCGGUGUAUCGGUGAAAUGCGUAGAUAUCGUGAGGAACACCUGUGGCGAAAGCGGCGCACUGGACCACUACUGAUGCUGAGGCGCGAAAGCUAGGGCAGCUACAUCAUUAGAUACUCUGGUAGCCCUAGCCCUAGACUUCGAUGCUCGGUGUGUCGGGUACCGAUCCUGACGUGCCCAGCUAAUGCGUGAUCAUCCGGCAUGGGGAGUACGGUCUCAAGACUGAAACUCAAAGGAAUUUGACGUGGGAGCCCGCCACGA
Molecule: ribosomal RNA, 905 nt
Filed under: uncultured soil bacterium
Lineage: Bacteria
Description: SSU rRNA
Rfam family: Bacterial small subunit ribosomal RNA
Source: RNAcentral